Molecule: long non-coding RNA, 856 nt
Organism: Olea europaea var. sylvestris
Lineage: Eukaryota; Viridiplantae; Streptophyta; Magnoliopsida; Lamiales; Oleaceae
Exons: 2
Source: RefSeq, a predicted model, not a curated record
CGGUUGAAACCAAAUCUCUUCCAGUGGCCUCAUUUCAACCCCAAAUUCAAACCCAUCCCCCACCGAGGAAUUUCCCCCAAAUCAAACCCGCGGCCACCAUAAAAAUUACAGGUGACAACCCACUUCAAGUGCCUCCGGUCGCCGUUUGAACGGUAGGAGAGUUAGAUCGUGGAAGUGGAAGGAAAGAGGAAAGAAGGCAGGAAGUUUGUAAGUUCGAUGGCAGGCAAGAAUAAGGGAAUAUGUCAUUCUUGUCGACAGAGGGGAUGUACGAUGCUGGAAUGCCCAACAAAGAGAAGAUGCCCAAACUGUGGUGAAGGUUUCAUCAAAUGGAUGGAGGUUGAAAAGAACAAUGACCAUAAAGGGUUGUUGUUUCAUUGCUGUACCCGUGACUAUAGGUACUUCAAGUGGUGUAACAAAUUUCCUGACGAAAAGUAUCUGUUGCAUGAUGAUGGUGAAUCAAGUUGCAUCACAACUGGAGGUGAAGACGUGGAUUCUUUGUCGCAUAUGUUGAAAACGCUUGCUCAGUUAAGCGAGGAGAAAGACUUGGACAUUUCUCUUCAAAUAAACAUGCGCAAAGGGAAACGAGUUUUAGAAAAUGAAAUGUAGAAGUUUUAGUAUUAGGAUGGUGAUGCAACGGGUUGUAUGUGGUGAUCGUUCGAGAAUGUAUAUCUAAACGUUUUCUAACUGUUUGUAAUUAUGCUUCCAGGAAUGGUAUGCUACUAGUUUGAUGUGGCGCAUGUGUUUUUUCUUCCAAUUGAAUGGUAUGUAACGACUCGUGUAUGUAAAAUAUUUUUUCUUUUUGCAAACAGAGAUCAAAGUCUCUAACAUCAAGAGAAGGGUCGCCAUUUGGUACAAA